GCCGUCGCUCCGCGGCGAGCUCCUCCCUGUGUAGUCGGUCUCCAGCAUCUGCGCCCCAGUCGGCCGGCCGGCGAGGUUGUGCCGCACACUUGGAUUUUCCUCUGUACGGAUUCCAUCUCCAGAACUCAGAGGUCCUCCCUCCGUCGGUCCAAAUCCUACCUCCGCCAAGUCGUGCUGCCGCGAGCGCGUGGGGCAGCCGUGCUCACCCGACUUCGUUUUCUAGCGGCAGCGCCCCUUCCAGGAAUGGCGCUGCUGAGGAUGCUCAGGUUCUUGCCGAAUGCCUGGCCAAAUUCCUUUUGCUGUAUGAAAUCCAAAUCCAAAUUCCCUGAAGGUCAGUGCUAAGUUUUUGUGCUGUCUCUUAUUAUAAACUGAUUUGUUCUUUUAAUAUACUACCAAAUUGCAAGUAUUGUCCAUAGAGCAAUGAAUUAUGUACUCUCCCAUGAAAUAUAUCUUACAGUUGUAGACAUGUUAUUUACUUACAUAAGAGAAAGACAUGACCUGGAUGAAGAUGUCGCGCACGGUGAUUCUCAGGUUCUUGCCCACUCUCACCAACUUGGAUGUCAACACUUAACUGCAUGCAAAUUCAGAUCAAAAUACCCUAGUAUCAGUGCUACUUAUUUUUUAUGUCUUGAAUUAUCAAAAAAAAAAUUCUUGUAAACUGCUCAAAUUCUAAGUCUUCAUCAUAUAGAAGUGGUUUUGAGACUUACAGAAGAUAAGGCCUUCAGCUGGCAUCGAAUAUUCUCAGCGUGUUUGUUCCUCUGCUAUACAACGACCCUGCUAGAUCGCUCCAACAAUGCCGCCGUGUUCCUAUUGUCCAUCAAUUCCCUAGCGCUCGUGGGCUCCGGUGCGGACUCCAGAUGAUACGGAUGACGUGGCGGCCGUAUUUUGUCGAUCGUAUUCAGAGUGGAUUCGAACGCUCAAAGGAAACAAAUGAAAUGAAGUUUAUAAUGUUGCUGCUUCAAACGGAAAACAUAUCAAUGGAAUUUCAAACUAUUCAAGAACUCUGAUGCAUACAUCUGAUCUCCAUCUUCUGUAUUGGACAUUGCUUUGCACACCGUAUCUGAGCUUCGGUCGAGACACAAUUUUGUCAAUGUCAGUUGAGUCUGGGAACACGACCAUUUGUUCAUCUGGAAGAUGGAACUGCAAUCUCUGUACAGAAGGUUGUCGAUGCUGAAGUUCAAAUCCAAAUAUGCGCCAAGAUGCUUCACCUGCGGAUAGGUACCGUGCAUCAAGGUACAUUUGUAUCUCAUCAUAUUUAUUCCCAGAACUCAAAAUUACAGUUGCUCUAUCCUCCCCUUUAUGUAUGUACUUGAAUAAGUACUUGAUAGAUCUCGACUUAUUGCACCACUCUACAUUUAUGUGUGCCUGGUACUUGACUAUGAGGUCCCUAUUGUAUGGAACAACAUAGCUGCUAUCUAGUUCUACUCCAUUUUUUUGUACUGUCUUUCCAUCAUCCCUUCUUCUGUAUACAGGAAAUCCUUCUUCAUCGAUACUUGUUUCCUCACAGAACUUCUUUGGAAAAUGUUUUGAGCACUUUCCAUUGAUCAUGCAAGGCCGCUAUAUAGCUCCAUCCUAAGUGUGCCUUGAUGCGUCUUGUACCAAUUCAGCCUCCACUGCUCAAUGCAUGCUGCUGCGUCUACUAUGAAUUGAAGGAACAACUUGCCACUCAUUUGCAGGACCACCGAUUGAUUUAGUCGCUGCUGGAUACGAUAUGCAUAAUACUCCAUCAUGGUUAAUAUAUUGAAGGAUGCGUGGAACAUCUUUUGAAGAAAAUGAUGGAAUUAUCUUCGUAAAGUUGUACCUUUGUUUUGUCAGAGGCACAUGAUUCUUCGACAUGGAGGCCGAGGCUAUUGCUGCUGAGUUUAGAAGUUUUGAUCGAUCCCUUUGCAACAACGUAGAACUUUUUUGUCUUCUCCGGACCUAAUGUAUAGUGCUGUAAAAUCAUGGACGCUCAUAAUUAUAGAAACACCAACGUGAGAUAAACAUGAAUUACAAUUACAAUAACCUUGAUCCCACCUUGUGCGUUUCUUUAGUCUCCUGUCCGUCGGAAGAUCUGGAGUAUUAAUGGGUAAAAAGUAUGCAUAGAUAUUCUUAUAUAAUAAUGGCAAUCAGACGUGUUGGGGUUGGACUCUGCAA
Lolium rigidum is the source of this 2136-nucleotide RNA transcript. RefSeq lists it as uncharacterized. The transcript is spliced from 7 exons. The record is from RefSeq and is a predicted model, not a curated record. NCBI's taxonomy places the organism in Eukaryota, Viridiplantae, Streptophyta, Magnoliopsida, Poales, Poaceae.